Poecilia latipinna (sailfin molly) is the source of this 307-nucleotide long non-coding RNA. RefSeq lists it as uncharacterized. The record is from RefSeq and is a predicted model, not a curated record. NCBI's taxonomy places the organism in Eukaryota, Metazoa, Chordata, Actinopteri, Cyprinodontiformes, Poeciliidae. The transcript has 3 exons.
GCUCUGCCGCCAAAACAAGAUCGGAGGUGGUGGGGGAGAGGGCUCACUACAGUGUCGGUGGAGCCAAUCCCAGUUGUGUGAGAACUAUGUCAAAGUUCGCAAAACAUGUGGAGCUUUUCAAAAUCCUUGAAGCCCAUACACAUUUAAUGUAAGUAAUUGGAUGAAAUGAAAGUCGUUGCAUUGAAAAUAUAUUUACUAAAUAUUAAGUACAUUACUUGGAUGAACUUUGAACCAAUGACACAUUUCCGUUUUACUCUGCAAAAACUUUGCUCAAGCAACUAGCAAAUUGGCUUUUAUAGGCCCAAGC